Molecule: long non-coding RNA, 2258 nt
Organism: Oncorhynchus kisutch (coho salmon)
Lineage: Eukaryota; Metazoa; Chordata; Actinopteri; Salmoniformes; Salmonidae
Exons: 4
Source: RefSeq, a predicted model, not a curated record
CUGAGGCUUUGACAUCAACAGUUUCACUUUGUUCCACCUUUGGUGAGCAAAACAGCUAAUAACGUAGCUAAAUACUGACAUUAUCCUCAAUCGAGAUAUCUGUUCAUAUCUAAAUACAUUGCCCAGUUUCCUAAGGACUUGAAGCGAAGCUGCCAUCUCUAUAGGCACCAUCUAGGAACGGUGUGUCGUGUAGAAUAGGAAAACCUUUACUGAAACUUCAAAUCAAACUAUGGUGGAGCCGCAGAAGCACUUCGGUGCAGGGUGGUUAUUUACAUAGUGAUUCAGAAAGGAACUGUCCUGCCAUAAAAGUAUACAUUAUGGGGACAGCUAAACAGUGUAGCUGUUUAUCUGUAUCAUUGACCCCUAUGGAGAAUGUAGCUGUUUGACCCCUAUGGAGAAUGUAGCUGUUAAUCUGUAUCAUUGACCCCUAUGGAGAAUGUAGCUGUUUAUCUGUAUCAUUGACCCCUAUGGAGAAUGCAGCUGUUAUCUGUAUUAUUGACCUCUAUGGAGAAUGCAGCUGUUAUCUGUAUUAUUGACCUCUAUGGAGAAUGCAGCUGUUAUCUGUAUUAUUGACCUCUAUGGAGAAUGCAGCUGGGAUCAUGUUCCUGAAUUCCCAGAAUGCCCUGUUAGGGUGAAAGAGGUUGAGGAGUCAAGGAUCAGGGCUGUACAGUAAGUCUCCUAUGUGGAGGUGAUGAAGAGAGUUGAAGGGAAAAGAGGCCACAGUUCUGAAGAAGAGAUGGAGGUGGAUGAACCACAACCAGUUGUAAAUGUUGUACGUCAAUCAAGUGAUCUGGAAACACUUAUUGUGGAGAAGGUGGUUUUUGUAACAUUUACAUCCACAGUUAUUAAUUGUACUGCAGAAGUGUCCAAGAAGUUGGAAAUCAUUAUAACUGCAGCCGAGAAGUUUUUGGGCCUCCAAGACUUAAUGGCAGAAGGACUUGAAGGACGACUGUCACCAGGAAAUGUCCCUCAUCACAGGAUCCUUCUGAGCCUGGGACCUGAUUCAAAUAUAAAAGCAGGCUGAUUUACUUUAAUUAACAUGAUAGUUUGUAUGGAAUUUGUCAUUUUAUUUUUGUUGAUUAAAUGUUUAUCCUGUUUGGAGACGUAUUAUCCACCUGAAACGUAGGUGGCGGAAUGAACAUAUUGUUGCGAACACAAUUAUACCAUAGAAGAAUCUCGCGUCCUUAUUCCAGCAAACCCGGAAGUUACAGAGACCGAGAGAGGAACAGAAACAAUCACACAGAGCGCUACUCCAAAACAUUGAUAAGUACAAUAAACGUCACAUGAAUAAAACAUGAAUGAUUUUCUGCCUCAUCCUUGUACCAUAUUGUUACUGAAGUUAAGAAUAAUGUGUGCAUUGUAUGAACUGAGAUCGCUAAAUUAACUGUGUGUCGACACAUUGCUGACGGAGCUGAAAACGGAGCAGGGAGGAGGUGUGUUAGUUUACCAAAUGCUGUCCGCGGCCAGUGACUGACUUCUCCGUCAAACGGUGAUAAUGUAUUGGGCCUGUAGCUUACUGCACAAAACUCAUUGCUACAGUAAUGUUUUUAAUUGGUUAAUGUUGUAUAGGCGUACGUUUUUUAAGUCGCGUUAAAAAGAAAAGCUGAUUGGUAGAUCUCGGCUUGCAUUUUGACUCAAAGGUUGGUGACGACUGUUCUAGAGUUUUCCCUGUUAACACCAUCAACGUGUCCCUUUACUCUGGUAAACGUGAUCAAUGGAAUAUUAUCCACUUUCACUGCAACAAACCGAAACUAAACCAACUAUGUAAGAGAUGUUGUAGACAGGACGCAUCGGAGUAGGAUUCUAUUGCAUUGAUACGACUCAUCCUGUACUCGACACAGACCGGUGCGGCAGAAAAUCCAGUCGAUCUCCAGGCUCAAAGCAUCAGUCCACCAGCUGAAUACUCAGUCAGACUGGUGGAUGGGACCACUUCCUGUUCUGGGACAGUGGAAGUCUUCUACAGAGGAGAGUGGACAGGUCUAUGUUCUAGUUGGUGGAGCAUAAUGAAAGAGGCCAAGGUUGUGUGUAGAGAGAUGGACUGUGGGAAUCCUGUAUCUGAAUCUAGAGGACCUCUGAUUGAAGAUGGAAGAAGAGGAGUCACACUAUUUAGUAUUUGUCGUGGAAAUGAGUCUUCUAUUAGACAGUGUGACAUCUUAGGAGAACCUGGUUUCUGUGAUGGUGGAUAUUAUCAUCAUGUGACCUGUUCAGAGUCUGUGCGGCUUGUGGAUGGAGCUGGUCUCUGCUCUGGGAGAGUGGAG